AAUCACUGCAAACCUCAGAAGAAGGGAGAUUAGAAUGAACCUGUAAAAUCAGUAGCCGUUACAGCCCACUUGGGAAGUUAACCAACAUUACCAGGCAGUGAAGACAGUGCUGGUGGGGGGUAAAAUCAGGAAGCCGCAAUUGAGGUUCAGGGAAGGAAAACCAUUCUCAGCUGAGGUCGUUAGGAAUGCCUUCAAAGGACAGGUAGGAUUUGAGCUGGGCAUUGGGAGACCUAAAGUUUAAAAACGGAUGAAGAAGAAAAUACCGUACUUUGAUUCCUGGUCAUUUUCUAAGGCUCAAGGAAGCUAGCAGCCCAGGGGGAUGUAAAGGAUCGUGUUGGUUUUCUUCCCUUUGCCACUGGUUCAGGAUGAGAAGUGUUUUUCUUCGAGCAUCGAGUCCUUCCAGAGACUGACAGAAAGGGGGAGAAUUUGGAUACGAGGACAAAAAUCUCCAGCACAGGCACUCACAUGUAAAGCAGGAGGAAAACGCCAUGCUUCUCCCCAACCUGAGGAACAGCUGAAAAAAAAGUCUAGGAAGAACUCAAAAAGGUACAAGAAAAUCAUGGUCCAAAUAGAGGCAAAAUAAAAUGAAUCGUAAUUUUGAGUAACUGCAGGGAUGUAAUAAAAGAAAAUCAAUUCGGCUGUGCUCCUGGGAACAUACUCCUUUGAGUCAACCAAAAGGUGAUGACACUGAAUGCAAGAGGAAGAAGUGUGAUCCUAACGCAGUCCUUGGCUCUCCAGGGAACAAUAUUUACCCGCUCACAAUAAUGUUAAUGCAGUUCAUUGGCUUCGAACUAGCAGAAUUAACCCAUAGACCAAGCACAGAGGACUCAUCAUGGUUGCAGAACAGAAUGUAAUGUUACCAAUCAGAACAAUGGAAAAACAAAGAUCAAGCUGGAAGAAGUUGAAAGGGGAAAGUGGGGGAGCUGGUAUCUCCAUCUCAUACUGUGUGGAGUUAAGAAAUAUUGUUGAAAGUUCAUGGAAUGAGGCCAAAUGUGGUGGAUUAUGCCUGAAAUCCCAGCACUUUGGGAGGCUGGGGCAGGAAGACCACUUGAGGCCAAGAGUCUGAGACCAGCCUGGGUAACAUAGCAAGAUCAUAUCUCUCCAAAAAGAAAAAAUUAAAAAUUAGCCAGGUGUGUUGACACGUGCCUGUAAUCCCAGCUACUUGGGAGGCUGAGGCAGGAGCAUUGCUGGUGCCCAGGAGUUCAAGGCUGCCGUGAUCCGUGUUCACACCACUGCACUCCAGCCUGGGUGACAGAAUGAGGUCCUGUCUCAAAAUAAAUAAAUAAG
Molecule: long non-coding RNA, 1287 nt
Organism: Pan troglodytes (chimpanzee)
Lineage: Eukaryota; Metazoa; Chordata; Mammalia; Primates; Hominidae
Exons: 2
Source: RefSeq, a predicted model, not a curated record